UGUCCGAGUGGCGGAAUGGCAGACGCGCUAGCUUGAGGUGCUAGUGCCCUAUUAACGGGCGUGGGGGUUCAAGUCCCCCCUCGGACACCCA
RNAcentral lists this transfer RNA (91 nucleotides) under Mycolicibacterium chitae. Its description in RNAcentral is "tRNA-Leu(gag)". It matches the Rfam family "tRNA". Rfam says of the family: Transfer RNA (tRNA) molecules are approximately 80 nucleotides in length. Lineage: Bacteria; Bacillati; Actinomycetota; Actinomycetes; Mycobacteriales; Mycobacteriaceae. The record is from RNAcentral.